UUUUGGAUGGCGCAGCGGUGCGCGACAGUCUGUAUAACUGUUGUUGCGGGUUCGAAUCCCGCUCCAAAAGCCA
Molecule: transfer RNA, 73 nt
Filed under: Zoogloeaceae bacterium
Lineage: Bacteria; Pseudomonadati; Pseudomonadota; Betaproteobacteria; Rhodocyclales; Zoogloeaceae
Description: tRNA-Tyr
Rfam family: tRNA
About the family: Transfer RNA (tRNA) molecules are approximately 80 nucleotides in length. Their secondary structure includes four short double-helical elements and three loops (D, anti-codon, and T loops).
Source: RNAcentral